CUAAAAAUUUAAAAAAUUAGCCGGGCAUGGUGGUGCCCGCCUGUAGUCACAGCUCCUCGGGAGGCUGAGGCAGGAAAAUUGCUUGAACCCGGGAGGCGGAGGUUGGAGUGAGCCGAGAUCACGCCACUGCACUCCAGCCUGGGCAACAGAGCGAGACUCUGUCUCAAAA
This is a long non-coding RNA of Cebus imitator (Panamanian white-faced capuchin), 169 nucleotides long. RefSeq lists it as uncharacterized. The record is from RefSeq and is a predicted model, not a curated record. The transcript is spliced from 2 exons. NCBI's taxonomy places the organism in Eukaryota, Metazoa, Chordata, Mammalia, Primates, Cebidae.